Molecule: ribosomal RNA, 445 nt
Filed under: uncultured organism
Description: bacterial SSU rRNA
Rfam family: Bacterial small subunit ribosomal RNA
Source: RNAcentral
UGCAGUCGACGCACCUUCGGGUUGAGUGGCGGACGGGUGAGUAACGCGUGAGAAUCUGCCUUGGGGUCGGGGACAACCACUGGAAACGGUGGCUAAUACCGGAUAAGCCGAUUGGUAAAAGAUUUAUUGCCCGAAGAGGAGCUCGCGUCUGAUUAGCUAGUUGGUGAGGUAAGAGCUCACCAAGGCAGCGAUCAGUAGCUGGUCUGAGAGGAUGAUCAGCCACACUGGAACUGACACACGGUCCAGACUCCUACGGGAGGCAGCAGUGAGGAAUUUUGCGCAAUGGGGGAAACCCUGACGCAGCAACGCCGCGUGAGUGAUGAAGGCUUUCGGGUCGUAAAGCUCUGUCAAGUGGGAAGAACAAGCUUGAUGUUAAUACCAUCAUGAACUGACGGUACCACUGAAGGAAGCACCGGCUAACUCCGUGCCAGCAGCCGCGGUAAUA